Molecule: ribosomal RNA, 253 nt
Filed under: uncultured bacterium
Lineage: Bacteria
Description: partial 16S ribosomal RNA
Rfam family: Bacterial small subunit ribosomal RNA
Source: RNAcentral
GACGGAGGGUGCAAGCGUUAUCCGGAUUCAUUGGGCUUAAAGGGUACGUAGGCGGCUUGGUAAGUCAGUGGUGAAAACUAGCAGCUCAACUGUUAGCGUGCCAUUGAUACUGCUAGGCUCGAGUAUAGUCGAGGUGGGUGGAAUUCUACAUGUAGCGGUGAAAUGCAUAGAUAUGUAGAGGAACACCGAUAACGAAGGUAACUCACUAGGCUAUUACUGACGCUGAGGUACGAAAGCGUGGGGAGCAAACAGG